CCCAAGCUCAAGAGUUCAAGACUGUCUUUAAAAACUAGCUGGGUGUUGUGGCAGGCACCUGUAGUACCAGCUGCUCAGGAGGCCAAGGCAAGAGGAUCGCUUGAGCCCAGGAGUUUGAGAACAAGAAGGAACAUUGUAUUGAGACCCAUGGACAUUCCGACAGGAGAUCCAGAAAGUUGACCCAAUGUGGAGAGAAGAUAAAUUAUUUUUAAAGAAAAAGAGAAUGCAUCAAGGGAUUCAGUAAUAUUACAGUUUGGGGUUCACCUAAAAAUAACCAGACCGCAGACCUGAGACUGCAGAAGUAUCCUCUGGCCACAGGAAUGCUUUACCACGUAGCCACCCACAUCGCCAGAGGACAAGAAGAUCACAGUUCCGCUCAGAGGGAAUCAAGGACCUUUUGGGGCCUAGGGCUGGGAUAGCAUGCUGCCUGUAGCUCUGUCCCAUCCUGCUCCCUUUCCCAUCUAGUGCUUCUCUUGUGGCCGUCUGGGGUUGUCAGCACAGCAGCUGCCCCUGCACAGUGAGCCCCUUGCCCCGCGUGGCCCUGUGCUCCAGGCUGGCUCCUGCCCCUCCCUGCGAGAUGCCUGGACCUGGGGCUGUGGUUUAUAGGCUGGAGCAUGAGAAAAGCUCGGCUGGUCUCCACCCCAUAUUUGUCAUCCAUGUAGAGGAAGGAACCACCUGAGAGCCCAGGGACUUUCCUCAAGACCUUCAGCCUUUUCUUCUGCCAACUAAACUCCCUUUCUCUUCAAGAGGGAAGGGGCAAGAUUGGGUUUGCAGUGAGAAUGAUGAAGUUGUGAACAAAGUCUUUAGCGCAGAUGGGCCCCUUGAUCUUCAGGUGGGAUGCUCAGGUGAGAUGCACAAGGUGAGCAAAGGUUGUUCUGUAUUUUGCUGGUGAAACGGCAUAACAGACCCCUGAGAAAGUUAUGGGGCAACAUCUUUAAAAUUGAAAGCAUACAUGCUCUUCGAACCAGGAAUCCUCCUUCUAGGAAUCUACCUUUUACUAAGAUGAGUAAAAGCAUCGAUGUUCGUUCAGACCUCCGUCAAGGACACGUGCUGUGCGUGCAGGCAGAAGCCUUGGAACAGUUAAGCCCCAUGGGCAGAGGAAGUCUGAGUAUAGUGAACUGCAGAUGGCUACCAGGAAAACCAACAUGAGAAUGGAGACGAACACAAAUCAGGUCGCGAGCUUGUGUUUUCUUGGGAGAAACUGGCGAGGCUGAAGUUGAUGUGUGAGACAAGCAAUGAGGAGGAGUUGGCCAAGAAACAAAAUAAAAAUAAAUGACGACACUUAAAAAAUUCAAGCAGAUUGGGUUCAAACCCAGCCCCGUCCAAAACCCCCACAAAUAAAUGAAUAAAUAAAUAAAAAUA
Long non-coding RNA from Nycticebus coucang (slow loris), 1362 nucleotides. RefSeq lists it as uncharacterized. The transcript has 4 exons. NCBI's taxonomy places the organism in Eukaryota, Metazoa, Chordata, Mammalia, Primates, Lorisidae. The record is from RefSeq and is a predicted model, not a curated record.